This 200-nucleotide long non-coding RNA is filed under the name Elaeis guineensis (African oil palm). RNAcentral describes it as "long non-coding RNA (EGUI_LNC078117)". Lineage: Eukaryota; Viridiplantae; Streptophyta; Magnoliopsida; Arecales; Arecaceae. The record is from RNAcentral.
AGGAGGACCCCGAUGGGGAGCAGACCUUCCGCGGCUAUAGGAUUUGAAAAAUCUGCAAAUGUAUUACCAAUAGCUUUGCCUUAAAUAAAAGUUUCAUAUUUGCAUAUUUUUCUUUUAGCAUGAGCUUAUAACGACAGGAAGUAACUCCCUCAUACAAUCAAAAUUAAGCUUGUUAGGAAUAGGAGGAGAACCUCAUCCUA